Molecule: ribosomal RNA, 509 nt
Filed under: uncultured bacterium
Lineage: Bacteria
Description: partial 16S ribosomal RNA
Rfam family: Bacterial small subunit ribosomal RNA
Source: RNAcentral
GACGAACGCUGGCGGCGUGCUUAACACAUGCAAGUCGAACGAAGAGCGAUGGAAGCUUGCUUCUAUCAAUCUUAGUGGCGCACGGGUGAGUAACGCGUAAUCAACCUGCCCUUCAGAGGGGGACAACAGUUGGAAACGACUGCUAAUACCGCAUACGAUUUAAACUCGGCAUCGAGGAUAGAUGAAAGGUGGCCUCUACAUGUAAGCUAUCACUGAAGGCGGGAUUGCGUCUGAUUAGCUAGUUGGAGGGGUAACGGCCCACCAAGGCGAUGAUCAGUAGCCGGUCUGAGAGGAUGAACGGCCACAUUGGGACUGAGACACGGCCCAGACUCCUACGGGAGGCAGCAGUGGGGAAUCUUCCGCAAUGGACGGAAGUCUGACGGAGCAACGCCGCGUGAGUGAUGACGGCCUUCGGGUUGUAAAGCUCUGUUAAUCGGGACGAAAGGCCUUCUUGCGAAUAGUGAGAAGGAUUGACGGUACCGGAAUAGAAAGCCACGGCUAACUACGUG